GGCGCAUUCGUCUAUUUGGUUAGGACGCCACCCUCUCAAGGUGGAGAUGACGGGUUCGAAUCCCGUAUGCGCCACCA
RNAcentral lists this transfer RNA (77 nucleotides) under Candidatus Firestonebacteria bacterium RIFOXYA2_FULL_40_8. Its description in RNAcentral is "tRNA-Glu". It matches the Rfam family "tRNA". From Rfam's summary of the family: Transfer RNA (tRNA) molecules are approximately 80 nucleotides in length. Their secondary structure includes four short double-helical elements and three loops (D, anti-codon, and T loops). Lineage: Bacteria; Candidatus Firestoneibacteriota. The record is from RNAcentral.